RNAcentral lists this ribosomal RNA (254 nucleotides) under uncultured bacterium. RNAcentral describes it as "partial 16S ribosomal RNA". It matches the Rfam family "Bacterial small subunit ribosomal RNA", at positions 524 to 776 of the family's 1533-position model. The record is from RNAcentral.
UACGUAGGGGGCAAGCGUUGUCCGGAUUUAUUGGGCGUAAAAGGCUUGUAGGUGGCCACGCCAAGUCGGAUGUGAAAUCUCCCGGCUCAACUGGGAGGGGUCAUUCGAUACUGGCGGGCUCGAGGCCGGUAGGGGGAAGUGGAAUUCCCGGUGUAGUGGUGGAAUGCGUAGAUAUCUGGAGGACCACCGGUGGCGAAGGCGGCAUCCUGGACCGACACUGACGCUGAGGAGCGAAAGCCAGGGGAGCAAACGGG